This is a long non-coding RNA of Ipomoea nil (Japanese morning glory), 1172 nucleotides long. RefSeq lists it as uncharacterized. The record is from RefSeq and is a predicted model, not a curated record. The transcript is spliced from 3 exons. Lineage: Eukaryota; Viridiplantae; Streptophyta; Magnoliopsida; Solanales; Convolvulaceae.
ACUGCAAAAAUCAGCAUAUAUAAAGGAAUAAAGUGUUAAUCAACUUUCUUUUUAUGGUGGACUGAGUAUGGAUUGGUAGUAAAUAUUCAGCUGGAUUUUUCAAUAAUUGCAAAUUGAGGCAUAAACUUGAAAUAACACUAACAAAACACUAACAAGCAUAGCACAUUUCAAUUGUUUAUUGGUUUUGUUAAAGUUUUGAUAUUAUAUACAUGGUAAGGCAAAUGAAAGAACAUGUUUUAAUAUCUCUUCCUAAGAUGGAAACUGGAGAAACUAAUGGAAAACUGAUACAUGCUAUUAUUGUAAUAUUAAAAUUGUCAUUCAAUAAUAGAUAUUUAAAGAUUGAUCCAUUGUUGCUAAUUGAGACUAGUCUGUGCAUAUUUUAGAAACUAUCCCUUAUUAAACCCAUCCUAUGCAUUCAAUUUGGAUAAAGAUGAUUGUGAAAAGCAAUAAGAAGCUGAAAUAUUUGUGUAGAUUUUCUUAAAUUCUGAUUUUACUUUUGCAGUCAUAUUUCCUUUUGAUAUUCAGAGACUUGCCCUUAAUGCAAAUUAGGAAAGAGAAGUUUAUCCUAUAAAGAGAAACGCAAUCCUAUAUGCUUCAUGGACUCGCUUCAAUUUUGUCUAUGACUUGAGAACAACAGCAUUACUUUGAUAUGCAGUUUUGGCACAUGCAAUUCACUGGAGAUGGUACUGAAGAUUCUGAGCUUGAAAUGCUAAAUUCCCCCUCUUUAGGAGAGGUGGGACGCAGAUCACUUCCUUUAGGCAUUUUUCCUGCUCUCAACUUUUGCUGAGAGGUGAUUCUGACAGCAUGCCUCUUGGAAGGUAAUUGUUGAAUCACAUAGAUACAUCUACUACAAGGGAUGAAGACUCAGAAGAAAUUCCUAGGGGAAAACUUGUUGUCUUGUCUUCCCUUGAGUAGUAUGUUUGUUUGAUGCAAAGUGAAGCUUAUUUAGACACCCACACAGAUUUUCCCUCUAAAGCUAGACAGGUAAAAAAAAUUAUAGUAUAAUUCUGCAACUCAUCAUUAAAAAAAAUUGUCAUUUUCUAUUUGAGAAAUAGAAAGAAAUUAAGAAAAUGAGGUAUUGACUACUAUUCUCUCAUGCAAAUUUUCACCUUCAAUACAUGGAUACUAAGGUCAUUCCAUCAGUAUUUCUCUCCAAAUCCUAAAAUGGAAGG